RNAcentral lists this ribosomal RNA (407 nucleotides) under uncultured bacterium. RNAcentral describes it as "partial 16S ribosomal RNA". It matches the Rfam family "Bacterial small subunit ribosomal RNA", at positions 30 to 526 of the family's 1533-position model. The record is from RNAcentral.
AUUGAACGCUGGCGGCAGGCCUAACACAUGCAAGUCGAGCGGAGCGGCGGACGGGUGAGUAAUACCUAGGAAUCUGACUGGUAGUGGGGGAUAACGUUCGGAAACGGACGCUAAUAACGCAUACUAUCAGCUGAGCCUAGGUCGGAUUAGCUAGUUGGUGAGGUAAUGGCUCACCAAGGCUACGAUCCGUAACUGGUCGGAGAGGAUGAUCAGAAAAACUGUAACUGAGACACGGUCCAGACUCCAACGUGAGGCAGGAGUGGGGAGUAGUGCACAAUGGGAGAAAGCCUGAUCGAGCCAUGCCGCGUGUCGGAAGAAGGACUUCGGGGUAUAAAGGACUUUUGUUAGGGAAGCGGUACCUAAAGAAUAAGCACCGGCUAACUACGUGCCAACAGCCGCGGUGAUAC